Molecule: ribosomal RNA, 132 nt
Filed under: Bos indicus x Bos taurus (hybrid cattle)
Lineage: Eukaryota; Metazoa; Chordata; Mammalia; Artiodactyla; Bovidae
Source: RNAcentral
GUCUAUGGCCAUACCAUCCUGAACGCACUCCAUCUUGUCUGAUCUCAGAAGCUAAGCAGGGUUGGGCCUGGUUACGACUUGGAUGGGAGAACGUCUCUGUAAAGCAUAGCAGAGGUCUGGCUACUUCAUGCU